Molecule: transfer RNA, 76 nt
Filed under: Clostridiales bacterium
Lineage: Bacteria; Bacillati; Bacillota; Clostridia; Eubacteriales
Also listed under: 2 other names
Description: tRNA-Thr
Rfam family: tRNA
About the family: Transfer RNA (tRNA) molecules are approximately 80 nucleotides in length. Their secondary structure includes four short double-helical elements and three loops (D, anti-codon, and T loops).
Source: RNAcentral
GCUGGCAUGGCUCAGUUGGUAGAGCACGUCAUUGGUAAUGACGAGGUCAUCAGUUCGACUCUGAUUGCCAGCUCCA